AUGGCUCAGGAUGAACGCUGGCGGCGUGCCUAAUACAUGCAAGUGAAACGGGUAUCUUCGGAUACCAGUCGCGGACGGGUGAGUAAUACAUAGGCAACCUGCCUUUAUGAGGGGGGAUAACCGAGGGAAACUUUGGCUAAUACCGCAUGAAGACUCUAAGGCAUCUUAGAGGGAUAAAAGUUGGGAAACAACGCAUGAAGAUGGGCUUAUGGCGCAUUAGCUAGUUGGUGAGAUAGAAGCCCACCAAGGUAAUGAUGCGUAGCCGACCUGAGAGGGUGAACGGCCACAUUGGGACUGAGACACGGCCCAAACUCCUACGGGAGGCAGCAGUAGGGAAUUUUCGGCAAUGGGGGGAACCCUGACCGAGCAACGCCCGCGUGAAGGAAGAAGGUUUUCGGAUUGUAAACUUCUGUUAUAAGGGAAGAACGGAUUGGAUAGGGAAUGAUCUGAUAGUGACGGUACCUUAUUAGAAAGCCACGGCUAACUACGUGCCAGCCGCCGC
Molecule: ribosomal RNA, 502 nt
Filed under: uncultured bacterium
Lineage: Bacteria
Description: bacterial SSU rRNA
Rfam family: Bacterial small subunit ribosomal RNA
Source: RNAcentral